GAUGAACGCUAGCGGCAGGCCUAAUACAUGCAAGCUGAACGGUAAAUAUUGUAGCAAUACAAUAUGAGAGUAGCGUAAGGGUGCGUAACACGUAUGCAAUCUGCCCUGUACAGGAGGAUAGCUCGGCGAAAGCCGGAUUAAUACUUCGUAAUAUUAUGGAGGGGCAUCUCUUUAUAAUUAAAGUCGCAAGAUGGUACAGGAUGAGCAUGCGUCUGAUUAGCUAGUUGGUAGUGUAACGGACUACCAAGGCGAUGAUCAGUAGGGGAACUGAGAGGUUGAUCCCCCACACUGGCACUGAGAUACGGGCCAGACUCCUACGGGAGGCAGCAGUAGGGAAUAUUGGUCAAUGGGUGAGAGCCUGAACCAGCCAUGCCGCGUGCAGGAAGAAGGCCUUCUGGGUUGUAAACUGCUUUUGCCGGGGGAUAAAAUUCCCAUGCGUGGGACAUUGAAGGUACCCGGUGAAUAAGCCACGGCUAACU
This 479-nucleotide ribosomal RNA is filed under the name uncultured bacterium. RNAcentral's name for it is "bacterial SSU rRNA". It matches the Rfam family "Bacterial small subunit ribosomal RNA", at positions 28 to 502 of the family's 1533-position model. The record is from RNAcentral.